AGUUUUGGGAGGCUGUACCCCAUAAAGGAAGGGUGCAAGGGCCUGUGGGCUGACAGGAAUUACAGACCGCCUUCCAGGUGGCCCCACCACCUGUGCUGGGCCCCUGCUGGGCUCACUUGACUGUCCCUGAGCCCAUCAUUCACCCUUUUGGAGCAAUUUUUGAAACAGACCGCUAAGUACCCAGGGUAUUAGCUGGUCUCAUCCCUACCAUGCCGGGGAACAUCAUUUGGAUCACCACAGUAGCAGCCCAAGGAGACACACAAGUAGCUGCUUUCUCGGACUGUAUUAUUUUCUGAAACACAUCCACCAGGAGCUGGACAAGGAGCUGGGGGAGAGCGAGGGCCUCAGUGACGACGAGGAGACCAUCUCCACCAGGGUGGUCCGGCGGCGGGUCUUCCUGAAGGGGAAUGAGUUUCAGAAUAUUCCAGGGGAGCAGGUGACAGAGGAGCAAUUCACGGAUGAGCAGGGCAACAUUGUCACCAAGAAGAUCAUUCGCAAGGUGGUUCGACAGAUAGACUUGUCCAGCGCCGAUGCCGCCCAGGAGCAC
This 547-nucleotide small RNA is filed under the name Pan troglodytes (chimpanzee). RNAcentral describes it as "retained intron". The record is from RNAcentral. Lineage: Eukaryota; Metazoa; Chordata; Mammalia; Primates; Hominidae.